RNAcentral lists this long non-coding RNA (1328 nucleotides) under Capra hircus (goat). RNAcentral's name for it is "lncRNA (ENSCHIG00010020043.1)". Lineage: Eukaryota; Metazoa; Chordata; Mammalia; Artiodactyla; Bovidae. The record is from RNAcentral.
UCCCAGGGUGGUAUCCAAGUGCUCAGGUGAUGAUAUAAGUGACAAAGUUAUAUUGCAUCAGUUUUGUACAAGGCAGCUGUCUCCCAUGUGUGAGAGGAACAGAGCAAAUGAAUGAGAAUGGGGGCUUAUUGGUAUGAGGACCACAUGCACUGGCUUUUCCAGGAUAGCCCUGGUAUCUUUUAAAAUCAUAAAAUACAUUUGAAAGGCUUUUGAUAUAUGAAUUCAGAAAUCCACAAUAAUUGUUAUUUCUACGAAUGAAACUAUUGGCUCAAAAUUCCUGCCGUGAGUUUACUGGGGUGCUUCAUAGAACUGUUCCUCUGGUGGUGAACUCCUUUUCCUUCCACUGCUCCAGCUGUUAUCAAGGCUCUUAAUAAUGUGCUAUGUAAUUUCAGAGUUAACUGCUUUGUUAUCUCGCUUGUUCUAUUUAAAAGAUAGUGUUUAGAAAAUUGUAGUGAUUUUCACUCAUUAUCUUUAAAAAGCAUACUUUGAAGAGUAGUAAACUUGAAUUCCUGAAUUUAAAGGUUCUUGCAACUUGAGGCCCUACUUUCUUUAUUAUAUGAGCCAUUUUUAUAGGUUUCUGAGAAUCCAGCUUCCCUAAAGCAUGGUUUUUAAAAUUGCAUUUAAAAAUGAGUUUUUUCAAGUGUUUCACAUCUGCAUAAUUCUCCUGAAUUAUAGCAAUUGCAGGUGGUAAAUCUUUGUACUCACUGAGAACACAGCUGGUUUCCAAGUCAGAUGUUAAAAAUCUCUGAUUGGAAUUCCUAGAACGUAUUUCAUUGCUGGAUUGCCAUUUGAAUUACAGAGUGAAAAACUCAGCUGUAAACUUCUCUCAUUCUUUGUUUGAUUUUGGCAACAGCACUCUCAAGGAGCUUAAGUAUUCAGCAGCUUCCUCUUUUGAGGCACUGGCACAAAACGAACUCAAGUUAUUCUGACCCAGGCCAUUCCCCGUGACCUUUAUAAAUGAUGUUAUGGGUUUUGUAUUUCUAAGGAGCUAAGUCAGCAUUUACAAAGGCCUUGAUAGAUAUAACUCAGUCUGCCAGACAAGACCUGGGGCCACUCUGGCCCAGGGUAAUUAUACCCCUUCUCAACAUAGAUCUAUCCCAGGCCAGACUUGAACUACUCUCUGGAGGGAUGAAGCAGGACAGUAUUUUCCAGUCUGCCUUUACCUUAAUGUGAGGCCACUUUUUCAAGUUCCUAAUCCCAAACAGUUUUUCUUGAAACUAAAACAUCAUCUCUUCAUGCAGCUGAUCAAAAAACAACUGUGUAAGAUAUAUGUGCUGUUGCUGCUGCUGCUAAGUCACUUCAAUUGUGUCCGACUCUGUGCGACCCCA